This 854-nucleotide ribosomal RNA is filed under the name Pratylenchus penetrans. Its description in RNAcentral is "SSU rRNA". It matches the Rfam family "Eukaryotic small subunit ribosomal RNA", at positions 50 to 905 of the family's 1831-position model. Lineage: Eukaryota; Metazoa; Nematoda; Chromadorea; Rhabditida; Pratylenchidae. The record is from RNAcentral.
CAUGCAUGUAUAAGUAUAAACGCUUUAUGCGUGAAACCGCGAACGGCUCAUUACAACAGCUAUAAUUUACUUGAUCUUGACAAACUUACAUGGAUAACUGAGGUAAUUCUUGAGCUAAUACAUGCACCAAAGCUUUGACCGUAAGGGGAGAGCGCAUUUAUUAGAACAAAACCAAACGGCUUCGGCUGUUCCCAGUUGAAUCAGAAUAACUCAGCUGAUCGUACGGUCUUGCACCGACGACGUGUCUUUCAAGUAUCUGCUUUAUCAACUUUCGAUGGUAGGGUAUCUGCCUACCAUGGUGGUGACGGAUAACGGAGGAUCAGGGUUCGACUCCGGAGAAGGGGCCUGAGAAAUGGCCACUACGUCUAAGGAUGGCAGCAGGCGCGCAAAUUACCCACUCUCAGAAUUUGGAGGAGGUAGUGACGAGAAAUAACGAGGUUGAUCUCUUCUGAGGCCAACCAUCGGAAUGGGUACAAUUUAAACCCUUUAACGAGUAUCUAUGAGAGGGCAAGUCUGGUGCCAGCAGCCGCGGUAAUUCCAGCUCUCAAAAUGCAUGGAAUUAUUGCUGCGGUUAAAAAGCUCGUAGUUGGAUCUGCAGCCGGAGCUCCGGUCCAUCUUCGGAUGCGUACUGGAUGUCUUCGGCUUUCUGACAGUGUUCGGCUCUGUGCCUCUAACCAGGUGUGGAUGUCCGAUACUGUAAGUUUACUUUGAAUAAAUCAGAGUGCUCUAAACAGGCGUUUUGCUUGAAUGAUUGUGCAUGGAAUAAUAGAAGAGGAUUUCGGUUCUAUUUUAUUGGUUUUAUAGACUGAGAUAAUGGUUAACAGAGACAAACGGGGGCAUUUGUAUGGCUACGU